Molecule: ribosomal RNA, 634 nt
Filed under: uncultured bacterium
Lineage: Bacteria
Description: bacterial SSU rRNA
Rfam family: Bacterial small subunit ribosomal RNA
Source: RNAcentral
UUAGGCAUGCAAGUCGCACGAGAAACCCAACUAGCUUGCUAGGAGGGGGACAGUGGCGAAAGGGAGAGUAACGCGUGGUUACCUACCCUCAGGACCGGGAUAGCGUCGGGAAACUGGCAGUAAUACCGGAUAACAUCUACGGAUCAAAUGGUGUGAUUCCGCCUGAGGAUUGGACUGCGUACUAUUAGCUUGUUGGUGGGGUAAUGGCCUACCAAGGCUGCGAUGGUUACCGGGUGUGAGAGCAUGGCCCGGCUCACUGGGACUGAGACACUGCCCAGACACCUACGGGUGGCUGCAGUCGAGAAUCUUCGGCAAUGGGCGAAAGCCUGACCGAGCGAUGCCGCGUGCGGGAUGAAGGCCCUCGGGUUGUAAACCGCUGUCAGUUGGGAGGAAAUGCCAUGGGGUUAUCCCUGUGACUUGACCGAUCUUCAGAGGAAGGACGGGCUAAGUACGUGCCAGCAGCCGCGGUAACACGUACCGUCCAAACGUUAUUCGGUAUUACUGGGCUUAAGCGUUCGUAGGCGGCUUGGAAGGUGAGAUGUGAAGCCCACGGCUCACCGUGGAAUUGCGUUUCAAACCACCAGGCUUGAGGAAGAUAGGGGUGAUGGGAACUUAUGGUGGAGCGGUGAAAUGC